UAUCUGGGCCUCAGUUUCCUUAUCUUUAAAGAGAGGUUGGAUUAAAUGAUAGCAAAAGUUGCUGUAACAGUGUAACCAGCUGACUCUCGGGAUGUGUGUGUGUGUGUGUGUGUGUGUGUGUGUGUGUGUGUGUGUGUGUGUGUGUGCUUCCGGCAGCUGUCUUUGCUCAGACCCCCCGGAGCCCCCGCCCCCUUUCCCAGGCUCACUGUGCAGGAGAAGCACCGGGCCUCCAGUUACCCAGUGUUCGCCCUCCCACUCUCCCACUCUGUUGCCCUUGUCCGUGCAAGCCCGCCGAGUCCUGGAGGCAGCUGUCCUGACAAGCUGGGAGGCGGCCGCGAAUGCCCCUGACUUUAAGACUGGCUGAGGCUUCAACCCAUCCUUUCGGGAGGGGGAGGUUUCAUAUGACGACUUCAGCGCCCUCCUGGGUUGAUUCUGGACUAAGAGAGUCGGCACAUAUCCGUCUUCUCCGGACUGGCUCUAAUCACAUCUGGAUCCCAAGGGCAUUGGUACGCAGCGGAGCCCCCGGGAGCUCCGCAGCCUCCUGCGAGGGGCAAAUUCCUUCAGUCCGGGGCAUUUCCCCUCUUCCUCUGACUUUGUGCCCAUCGGCUGAUUUGGGUUCAUGGAGCUCGGGUUGUGGUUCCUCUUUGGACUUACAGUGACCACCGCAGGAUUCUUGCCUCCGACAGUGCCUCGCCUGGAGCCAGCGGCAGCCAGAGGGGGCUGGGGCCCUAGGGUUCCCGAAGCCCGGGAAAGCGAUGGAGAAGAGAAAGAAGCAGUAGCCGUCGUGAUGGUCACGGAGCUGAGCCCGACUAGGGCCGGGCAGGACAAGGGCUCGGCUGGCCCAGGGAGCCCCGGAAAGCAUCAGGAGAAAGCGCUGCGCGCAAGAGAGAAAAGCGCUGCACUUGCUACACUUACAAGGACAAAGAGUGCGUGUACUAUUGUCACCUGGACAUCAUCUGGAUCAAUACGCCAGAACAGACUGUACCAUAUGGGCUCUCCAAUUACAGAGGCAGCUUCCGGGGCAAGAGAUCUGCAGAUCCUAUCUGCAGGACUUUGCCACCAUUUGAAGGGCCACGGAACCGAUGUUCUUGCACGGAACAAGAUGAUGAUGCCUGCAUUCGUUUUUGCACCGGAACUGAGGACAACAGAAGCAAUUCAAGGACAGCAGGAAAACAUCAAGACAUGGACAUGGAACAGCCUCCUGAAAAGUGGCCCUGACAGCACAGAUGCAUGAACAGAG
RNAcentral lists this long non-coding RNA (1240 nucleotides) under Phascolarctos cinereus (koala). RNAcentral describes it as "lncRNA (ENSPCIG00000031214.1)". The record is from RNAcentral. Lineage: Eukaryota; Metazoa; Chordata; Mammalia; Diprotodontia; Phascolarctidae.